UACGUAGGGACCAAGCGUUGUUCGGAUUUACUGGGCGUAAAGGGCGCGUAGGCGGCAUAUUAAGUCAGCUGUGAAAUCUCCGAGCUUAACUCGGAACGGCCAGCUGAUACUGAUGUGCUAGAGUGCGGAAGGGGCAAUCGGAAUUCUUGGUGUAGCGGUGAAAUGCGUAGAUAUCAAGAGGAACACCUGAGGUGAAGACGGGUUGCUGGGCCGACACUGACGCUGAGGCGCGAAAGCGCGGGGAGCGAACGGG
Molecule: ribosomal RNA, 253 nt
Filed under: uncultured bacterium
Lineage: Bacteria
Description: partial 16S ribosomal RNA
Rfam family: Bacterial small subunit ribosomal RNA
Source: RNAcentral